GGAGUGAAAGGCUAAUCAAGCCCGGAGAUAGCUGGUUCUCCUCGAAAGCUAUUUAGGUAGCGCCUCGUGUAUCACUGUCGGGGGUAGAGCACUGUUUCGGCUAGGGGGUCAUACCGACUUACCAAACCGAUGCAAACUUCGAAUACCGGCAAGUGCAAGCACGGGAGACACACGGCGAGUGCUAACAUCCGUCGUGAAGAGGGAAACAACCCAGACCGCCAGCUAAGGCCCCCAAGUCAUGGCUAAGUGGAAAACGAUGUGGGAAGGCAUAGACAGCCAGGAGGUUGGCUUAGAAGCAGCCAUCCUUUAAAGAAAGCGUAAUAGCUCACUGGUCGAGUCGGCCCGCGCGGAAAAUUCAACGGGGCUAAGCCAUGCGCCGAAGCUGCGGACUUGGCAUUGCCAAGUGGUAGAGGAGCGUUCCGUAAGCCUGUGAAGGUGUGUCGCGAGGCAUGCUGGAGGUAUCGGAAGUGCGAAUGCUGACAUGAGUAACGAUAAUGCGGGUGAAAAACCCGCACGCCGUAAACCCAAGGUUUCCUGCGCAACGUUAAUCGGCGCAGGGUGAGUCGGACCCUAAGGCGAGGCCGAAAGGCGUAGUUGAUGGGAAACAGGUUAAUAUUCCUGUACCGAUGAUUGCUGCGAUGGGGUGACGGAGAAGGCUAGGCCGGCCGGGUGUUGGAUGUCCCGGUUUAAGCAAGUAGGAAGAUCCCUUAGGCAAAUCCGGGGGGUCAAUUCCGAGAUGUGAUGACGAGUCCCUUAGGGGGCGAAGUGGUUGAUGCCAUGCUUCCAGGAAAAGCCUCUAAGCUUCAGGCAAUCAUCGCCCGUACCGCAAACCGACACAGGUGGGUGAGGAGAGAAUCCUAAGGCGCUUGAGAGAACUCGGUUGAAGGAACUAGGCAAAAUAGUACCGUAACUUCGGGAGAAGGUACGCCCCUUGUACGUGAAGAGCCUUGCGCUUGGAGCGGAAAGGGGUUGCAGUGACCAGGCCGCUGCGACUGUUUAUCAAAAACACAGCACUCUGCAAACACGAAAGUGGACGUAUAGGGUGUGACGCCUGCCCGGUGCCGGAAGGUUAAUUGAUGGGGUUAGCCCUCGGGCGAAGCUCUUGAUCGAAGCCCCGGUAAACGGCGGCCGUAACUAUAACGGUCCUAAGGUAGCGAAAUUCCUUGUCGGGUAAGUUCCGACCUGCACGAAUGGCGUAACGAUGGCGGCGCUGUCUCCAACCGAGACUCAGUGAAGUUGAAAUCGCUGUGAAGAUGCAGCGUACCCGCGGCAAGACGGAAAGACCCCGUGAACCUUUACUAUAGCUUUGCACUGAAUUUUGAACCUGCUUGUGUAGGAUAGGUGGGAGGCUUUGAAGCGCAGACGCCAGUUUGCGUGGAGCCAACCUUGAAAUACCACCCUGGCAUGUUUGGAGUUCUAACCUAGGCCCGUUAUCCGGGCUGGAGACAGUGCAUGGUGGGUAGUUUGACUGGGGCGGUCUCCUCCCAAAGAGUAACGGAGGAGCGCGAAGGUACCCUCAGCGCGGUCGGAAAUCGCGCAAUGAGUGCAAAGGCAUAAGGGUG
Molecule: ribosomal RNA, 1562 nt
Filed under: beach sand metagenome
Description: bacterial LSU rRNA
Rfam family: Bacterial large subunit ribosomal RNA
Source: RNAcentral